UUAUUGGAGAGUUUGAUCCUGGCUCAGGACGAACGCUGGCGGCGUGCCUAAUACAUGCAAGUCGAGCGGGGUUU
This 74-nucleotide ribosomal RNA is filed under the name Paenibacillus lacisoli. Its description in RNAcentral is "partial 16S ribosomal RNA". It matches the Rfam family "Bacterial small subunit ribosomal RNA", at positions 1 to 74 of the family's 1533-position model. Lineage: Bacteria; Bacillati; Bacillota; Bacilli; Caryophanales; Paenibacillaceae. The record is from RNAcentral.